GAAUGUUUCAAGACAGAAGGUGCAACUGACAGUUGAAUACAGAUGAGAGUUUGAGUCCACUGGAAUUGUCCCUAAACAUUUGGGUUUUGGUAACACUGAUAAGUGGAAUUUCAUUGAAGUGUAGCCAAAUGGCAGUAGAUUAAAAUGUGAAUAAGAGAAAAAAGUGGAGUGAAAAGUGUAUGAAGACACAUCUUUUGAGAAGUUUGACUAUAAAGAAUAGCAGAUAAAUAGAAUGUGACAGCUUAAAAAAGUUCUCUCAUCCUCUUUCCAAAAGAUAUUUGAAAGACUAAAUUUUAGGAACCAAGUCUAGAGGAGCUGACACUAUCUGGGACAUGCAAUUCUCAAGUGGAUGGAUGGAAUAUGAGUGUUUGAAUGUGAAUAUUGCAGCAAUCAAGCUUUUGCUAUGCAGAGAAGGAAUAUGAAAAGGAAUUAAAGAUCAGGGUUGUAAGCUCUAGUUCAGAGUGGAGAAGAUCCUCCUGCAUCCAGUGAUUCCAUGCCUAGGCCUUAGAUACAUAACCCAAGAUUCAACAAGCAACACCCGUUCACAUUAGAUGAUAUUCUAGGCACUAGAGGAACUCUGAGGGUACCAUCAGGGUCAGGAAAUAGUGUAGUGGAGGACAGCAGAGCUGGGGAGGACAUCGCUAAUUUAAACAGAAUGGCACUCCUUUAAAUCCAUUAUACUCUUUGUUAGAGAAUGUAACUGCGCAUUCUUGUCAUAAAACACCAAUAAAAGAUAAAUUUUGUGGACCAC
Long non-coding RNA from Pan paniscus (pygmy chimpanzee), 751 nucleotides. Lineage: Eukaryota; Metazoa; Chordata; Mammalia; Primates; Hominidae. The record is from Ensembl.